UUUCCGUAGGUGAACCUGCGGAAGGAUCAUUCAUAAUAAAGUGUUUUAUGGCACUUUUUAAAAAUCCAUAUCCACCUUGUGUGCAAUGUUAGAUCUCGUCAAUCUUGGCGAGAUUUUUAUACAUCAACUCAUUCUUUAACUAAUUUGUCUGAAAAAUAUUAUGAAUACUUAAUUCAAAAUACAACUUUCAACAACGGAUCUCUUGGUUCCG
RNAcentral lists this unclassified non-coding RNA (211 nucleotides) under plant metagenome. RNAcentral's name for it is "partial contains small subunit ribosomal RNA, internal transcribed spacer 1, and 5.8S ribosomal RNA". The record is from RNAcentral.